GAUGAACGCUGGCGGCGUGCCUAAUACAUGCAAGUCGAGCGAACAGAUGAGGAGCUUGCUCCUCAGACGUUAGCGGCGGACGGGUGAGUAACACGUGGAUAACCUACCUAUAAGACUGGGAUAACUUCGGGAAACCGGAGCUAAUACCGGAUAAUAUAUUGAACCGCAUGGUUCAAUAGUGAAAGACGGUUUUGCUGUCACUUAUAGAUGGAUCCGCGCCGCAUUAGCUAGUUGGUAAGGUAACGGCUUACCAAGGCGACGAUGCGUAGCCGACCUGAGAGGGUGAUCGGCCACACUGGAACUGAGACACGGUCCAGACUCCUACGGGAGGCAGCAGUAGGGAAUCUUCCGCAAUGGGCGAAAGCCUGACGGAGCAACGCCGCGUGAGUGAUGAAGGUCUUCGGAUCGUAAAACUCUGUUAUUAGGGAAGAACAAAUGUGUAAGUAACUAUGCACGUCUUGACGGUACCUAAUCAGAAAGCCACGGCUAACUACGUG
RNAcentral lists this ribosomal RNA (497 nucleotides) under uncultured bacterium. RNAcentral's name for it is "partial 16S ribosomal RNA". It matches the Rfam family "Bacterial small subunit ribosomal RNA", at positions 28 to 507 of the family's 1533-position model. The record is from RNAcentral.